AGUGAACGCUGGCGGUAGGCCUAACACAUGCAAGUCGAACGGCAGCACAGUAAGAGCUUGCUCUUACGGGUGGCGAGUGGCGGACGGGUGAGGAAUACAUCGGAAUCUACUUUUUCGUGGGGGAUAACGUAGGGAAACUUACGCUAAUACCGCAUACGACCUACGGGUGAAAGCAGGGGAUCUUCGGACCUUGCGCGAUUGAAUGAGCCGAUGUCGGAUUAGCUAGUUGGCGGGGUAAAGGCCCACCAAGGCGACGAUCCGUAGCUGGUCUGAGAGGAUGAUCAGCCACACUGGAACUGAGACACGGUCCAGACUCCUACGGGAGGCAGCAGUGGGGAAUAUUGGACAAUGGGCGCAAGCCUGAUCCAGCCAUACCGCGUGGGUGAAGAAGGCCUUCGGGUUGUAAAGCCCUUUUGUUGGGAAAGAAAAGCAGCAGGUUAAUACCCCGCCGUUCUGACGGUACCCAGAGAAUAAGCACCGGCUAACUUCGUG
RNAcentral lists this ribosomal RNA (492 nucleotides) under uncultured bacterium. Its description in RNAcentral is "partial 16S ribosomal RNA". It matches the Rfam family "Bacterial small subunit ribosomal RNA", at positions 29 to 507 of the family's 1533-position model. The record is from RNAcentral.